RNAcentral lists this ribosomal RNA (654 nucleotides) under Drosophila saltans. RNAcentral describes it as "eukaryotic LSU rRNA". It matches the Rfam family "Eukaryotic large subunit ribosomal RNA", at positions 97 to 641 of the family's 3401-position model. Lineage: Eukaryota; Metazoa; Arthropoda; Insecta; Diptera; Drosophilidae. The record is from RNAcentral. RNAcentral also lists the same sequence under 1 other name.
AAAGAAAAUAGUUCAGCACUAAGUCACUUUGUCUUUAUGGCAAAUGUGAGAUGCAGUGUAUGGAGCAUCAAUAUUCUAGUAUGAGAAAUUAAUGAUUUAAGUCCUUCUUAAAUGAGGCCAUUUACCCAUAGAGGGUGCCAGGCCCGUAUAACAUUAAUGAUUACUAGAUGGUGUUUCCAAAGAGUCGUGUUGCUUGAUAGUGCAGCACUAAGUGGGUGGUAAACUCCAUCUAAAACUAAAUAUAACCAUGAGACCGAUAGUAAACAAGUACCGUGAGGGAAAGUUGAAAAGAACUCUGAAUAGAGAGUUAAAUAGUACGUGAAACUGCUUAGAGGUUAAGCCCGAUGAACCUGAAUAUCCGUUAUGGAAAAUUCAUCAUUAAAAUUGUAAUAUUUAAAUAAUAUUAUAAUAAUAGUGUGCAUUUUUUCCAUAUAAGGACAUUGUAAUCUAUUAAUAUAAACCAAAUUUAUCAUAAAAUAUGACUUAUAGUUUAUUUAAAUUAUUUUGCUUGCAAUUUAACAUAAAAUAAAUGUCAUUAAUUUGAUAAAGUGUUGAUAGAUUUAUAUGAAUACAGUGCGUUAAUUUUUUUAAAAUUAUAUAAUAGCAUGAUUAUCAUUGAUUUUCUAUGUUUAUUAUAUGCACUUGUAUGAUUAA